Molecule: ribosomal RNA, 578 nt
Filed under: uncultured bacterium
Lineage: Bacteria
Description: bacterial SSU rRNA
Rfam family: Bacterial small subunit ribosomal RNA
Source: RNAcentral
CCAGACUCCUACGGGAGGCAGCAGUAGGGAAUCUUCCGCAAUGGGCGAAAGCCUGACGGAGCAACGCCGCGUGAGUGAAGAAGGAUUUCGGUUCGUAAAGCUCUGUUGUUAGGGAAGAAUGAUUGUGUAGUAACUAUACACAGUAGAGACGGUACCUAACCAGAAAGCCACGGCUAACUACGUGCCAGCAGCCGCGGUAAUACGUAGGUGGCAAGCGUUGUCCGGAAUUAUUGGGCGUAAAGCGCGCGCAGGUGGUUUAAUAAGUCUGAUGUGAAAGCCCACGGCUCAACCGUGGAGGGUCAUUGGAAACUGUUAAACUUGAGUGCAGGAGAGAAAAGUGGAAUUCCUAGUGUAGCGGUGAAAUGCGUAGAGAUUAGGAGGAACACCAGUGGCGAAGGCGGCUUUUUGGCCUGUAACUGACACUGAGGCGCGAAAGCGUGGGGAGCAAACAGGAUUAGAUACCCUGGUAGUCCACGCCGUAAACGAUGAGUGCUAAGUGUUGGUCUCAUAAGAGAUCAGUGCUGCAGCUAACGCAUUAAGCACUCCGCCUGGGGAGUACGACCGCAAGGUUGAAACUC